RNAcentral lists this ribosomal RNA (149 nucleotides) under Paramuricea clavata. RNAcentral describes it as "LSU_rRNA_bacteria". It matches the Rfam family "Eukaryotic large subunit ribosomal RNA", at positions 3010 to 3158 of the family's 3401-position model. Lineage: Eukaryota; Metazoa; Cnidaria; Anthozoa; Malacalcyonacea; Plexauridae. The record is from RNAcentral.
GUUGCAAUAGUAAUUCUGCUCAGUACGAGAGGAACCGCAGAUUCAGACAAUUGGCUCAUGCACUUGCCUGAAAAGACAAUGGUGCGAAGCUACCAUCUGUUGGAUUAUGAUUGAACGCCUCUAAAUCAGAAUCCGUGCUAGAACGCAAC